This 87-nucleotide transfer RNA is filed under the name Desulfobacterales bacterium. RNAcentral describes it as "tRNA-Arg". Lineage: Bacteria; Pseudomonadati; Thermodesulfobacteriota; Desulfobacteria; Desulfobacterales. The record is from RNAcentral.
GUAACUGAAACCUUUGGCUUUCCAAGUGUGUCCUUUUGAGGAUUCCUAAUCCAUGUGCCGCAGGUCCGAUUCCUGCCGGGGGCACCA